AUGAGCUAACAACAAGCAAAACAUUUUCAUUCUUUCCCCUUUUAGAAUGAAGAUCCCAAACUCCCUUUUUGA
Molecule: unclassified non-coding RNA, 72 nt
Filed under: Listeria monocytogenes
Lineage: Bacteria; Bacillati; Bacillota; Bacilli; Caryophanales; Listeriaceae
Description: LhrC
Source: RNAcentral